This 684-nucleotide ribosomal RNA is filed under the name Phellinotus piptadeniae. RNAcentral's name for it is "LSU rRNA". The stretch from base 1 to 393 matches the Rfam family "Eukaryotic large subunit ribosomal RNA", at positions 243 to 664 of the family's 3401-position model. Lineage: Eukaryota; Fungi; Basidiomycota; Agaricomycetes; Hymenochaetales; Hymenochaetaceae. The record is from RNAcentral.
AAGGUUCCUCCGCUCGCUCGAGUCGUUUUGUUUGGGAAUUCAACGCAAAAGGGGUGGUAACUUUCAUCCAAGACUAAGUAUUGGCCAGAGACCGAUAGCAUACAAGUACCCUGAUGGAAAGAUGAAAAGCACUUCGAAAGGAGAGUUAAACGAGCUGUGAUUUUUUGGGAGGCCAAGUGGGAUUCCGUCAAGCAUUUGCUUAUGUGUUUCUGCUCGUCUGAGGGGGGUUAUGCUCUGCUAAGGGCGCUAAAGUUUAGGUUCGGGGGGGCAGGUUUUAGGCAUUAUAGGGCAUUACGUAGUUGCUGACUCAACUUCUAUCAACCGCUGAGUGGAGUCGACCAUUGGCAUAGAUGACAAUUUUGGCAUGUUGACACGACGCGUCUUGAAUCACAGACCAGACAGUAAAACCAGUCGUUCGUAGUGUAAGUGUUCGAUGUAUCCGACCGCGACGCGAAAGCAAAAACUGUGAAUGUCAGUGCUUCAGCGCCCGACCUCCCACAUUCGAACUUGCCAUAUUGUUUAGACCACGAGAGAGGGGUGACCUAUACCCGGAGUUAGGUGACCUACGCUGUAAAUCCUGGCGAACGCUCGCAAACAUCCUGACAUGCUCCUUCGGUCCUUCUAAACUUGGCAUUGGAUCCUAAAAAACUAACCGAAGGCGAUCAAAAAAACUGGAUCCACACG